Molecule: non-coding RNA, 83 nt
Organism: Aspergillus indologenus CBS 114.80
Lineage: Eukaryota; Fungi; Ascomycota; Eurotiomycetes; Eurotiales; Aspergillaceae
Source: the annotation of a GenBank genome assembly
UCCGAUAUGGUGUAGUGGCUAACAUCGCCGUCUCUCAAUUGCUCGGUGCACGGCAGCCGGGGGUUCGAUUCCCCCUAUCGGAG